AUGAACGCUAGCGGCAGGCUUAACACAUGCAAGUCGAGGGGCAGCAUAAUGAAGUAGCAAUACGGAAUUGAUGGCGACCGGCGCACGGGUGCGUAACGCGUAUGUAACCUACCUCUAACAGGGGGAUAACACUGAGAAAUUGGUACUAAUACCCCAUAACACUUCGGAGGGCAUCUUCUGGAGUUGAAAGUUCAGGCGGUUAUGGAUGGGCAUGCGUUGUAUUAGCUAGAUGGUGAGGUAACGGCUCACCAUGGCUACGAUACAUAGGGGGACUGAGAGGUUAACCCCCCACACUGGUACUGAGACACGGACCAGACUCCUACGGGAGGCAGCAGUGAGGAAUAUUGGUCAAUGGACGCAAGUCUGAACCAGCCAUGCCGCGCGCAGGAUGACGGCUCUAUGAGUUGUAAACUGCUUUUGUACAAGGGUAAACCCUGGGACGCGUCCCAGGCUGAAAGUACUGUACGAAUAAGGAUCGGCUAACUCCGUG
RNAcentral lists this ribosomal RNA (490 nucleotides) under uncultured bacterium. Its description in RNAcentral is "bacterial SSU rRNA". It matches the Rfam family "Bacterial small subunit ribosomal RNA", at positions 29 to 507 of the family's 1533-position model. The record is from RNAcentral.